UCUCUCAUCUUUCAACCGAUUUGGGCGAUACAAAAGGCAAAGUUGUGAGAUUUUUCGAGGGCAACGCGUUGGUGAGCUCGGAUAGUGGUUUGGGGUUCCCGUUUGAGGUCCCAGUACCAGUUACCAGCGGUGAUUAGUUCCAGCCUCCUUUUGCAGUUGUGAUUCGGAGACGAGGGCGAGCACUUGGCGUUUUGGGGUUUGUUCUGUCUCCUUCUUUUGAUUUAGCUAGUCUUGUUGCCUUUGAGACACGCUCUGUUGUGGUCCACUUUUGGGACUUGUACUCUUUAUUAGAUAGCUCUGUACUAGUGACUUCCAGGUUCUGGGAGGGAUUUCUGUAUAUAUUUAUUUUGGGUUG
Long non-coding RNA from Solanum stenotomum, 355 nucleotides. RefSeq lists it as uncharacterized. NCBI's taxonomy places the organism in Eukaryota, Viridiplantae, Streptophyta, Magnoliopsida, Solanales, Solanaceae. The transcript has 2 exons. The record is from RefSeq and is a predicted model, not a curated record.